AUUGCUUCAGGGGCAAGGAAAACCCAGUAAAACUCACAGAACACACCCCAAGUGGCGGAGGCAAUGGCGAGGCAGAAUGUCCACGGCUAGUCAAAACCCGAAUGGUCAAUAUGCACCACAGCAGGCCUCUAAUAGAUUGUUCCUCUGCAAGACCCGAGGACCUUGAGCUCAAACACCCCAAACCUGGCUCAUGAACGUCUUGCCUAAGUCCUCUUUAUUCUGCUUCAUAUGUCAGGCCAUCCGCUUCUCUUCCGUCAAUUACGUUACACAUUCUUAUCUGACCUAUUGUUAUUGCACCCUAAGUAAUCUCCCUGUCCCCCACUUGAUACCAUUAAGCCCUUUGCUGCUGAAGCUGAUUUUCCAAAACACACACGACCAUGCGGCUUCACUGUGGCUGUGGUCUCAGGCUUCUGUCCCUCGGAUCGUGGACUAGCCCGUUCUGAUCUAGGGCUGAUCUGCGGGUCCAGCCUCAGCUCGGGGCCAGCUGUGCCCUGGCAUGUCAUUCUGAAAGCAUGCCAUGCCUGUCCACGCCUCGGCCCCCUUGCGCAUACCAUCCCCAUUCUUCGUCUGCUUGUCUUAUUUAUCUUCCAGCACCCAGCUCACAGCUUCCCAGGCUAUGGUGCGCUCAUCACGCCUCCAGAUCCCACAGCUCCCCGUACAUGUUUCCUUUCUGCCUGCAUCACCCUGGGCUGCUUCAGAUGCAGCCCCUGGAGCGACGGAUAUUUGGGUUCAAAUCCCAACUCUUCUACUCACUGGCUGUGAAAUACCAGAUAAGUCUCUCUGAGCCCCAGUUUCCUCAUCUGUUAUGUGGGGAGUAUGAUCUCUAAUUAUAGGACUCCCAUGAGCAUUAGAGAUGAUGUAUAUAAAAGACCUAGUAUACAGCCUGGUAUAAAAUAGGGGAUGGGCGAAUAAAAUGAAUGAAUGAAUGAAUGGAUGGAUGGGUGAAAGUGUGCCUGAGUCUUCUACAGCCUAAGUCAAUACUGGGAAAUUAUACCAGCAUCUUUGGAUGACAGUAAUCCCGCUUUAUCUACGACCUCAUUUUUUGUGGUUUCAGUUACCCCUGGUCAGACCCAGUUCAGAAGCAAGAUGAUCCUCUUUUUGACAUAUUGUCCAAAGGAUAAAGGAAAACAAAGUUCGAUGGGAAGCUUAACGCUACAAUGGAUUUUAAAAGAACAGAUCGAAUGAAUCGUAAACACCUGAUUAUUUCUCUGAACCACAGGUAAUCUGAGCCCAAAGAGUUAACACAGUCUGAAGCCCCCCAGUGGCCCCAGACCCAGAAAAGUUGCUAGGUGACUUUGCAGAAGAGAAACAAAUAGAAACUCUUUUUCCAAUUGAGAAGAAAAUCAAUGGGAAAAGAGGUGCUCGGGGACUUAACACAUCUGCAGGGUGUUUUUCUUUUUCUGUCUUUUUCCCCCCUGAUUUUUUAACAGCAUUAAUGCUUAGAAAUAGUAAAAAUAAUUGCACUGGCUGGGUUUUGAGACUCACAGAGGAAAACUUAGAAGAAAUGCCUGGUAAGAAGGAUCAAGUAACUCUUAAGUAUAAGCUGAGGAAUAGGAAAUCUUGAAGAGUUUAAAAACAAUUAGAAUUUAGAGUCCUAGAUUUAGAACGCCAAAGACUCCUUUUUUUUUUCUUUUUUCUUUUUUUUUUAAUUUGUGGUAUCCCUUUAAGAGCCAUUCGGUGCAAUUCAUAGCCUGAUUCAUACCACCAGCUGCCUCUGAUUUCAGUGAGAAAUGCAGAAAUUUAUAAGGAACUGUAAAAUGGGGACAGGUUUUUCGUCUUCUAAAUUGAGGUUUUGACUGGCAAACUUCUGAAGGUUUAAGAAACCACAGAGCUGAGCUGUGGGAAGCUGGUUUCUUUUCCGGUCCGAACAAAUAAACACACAAACACAUACCUAACUCACAAAGUGUUGGAAGAGAUAAAUCAGUGCUCUUUGCAGAGGAGGAAAACAAAAAAUCAGCCUUGCGGGCACCGGAGGAAAGUCACAUCUGCCAGCAGACAGCACCCUGUGCUGGCAGAGGGGGAAACUGAGCUUCGGCAGUGUCCCGGCAGGAUUUGCACAAAGUCUCCUGUUUCGAGCUGGGGUGUCCCCGCCGUCCCAGGGCAGCGCCCAGCCCGCAUCUCCCUUCUCAAAGCCCCAAGGAUUGACAAGAACCCCCUGCAACACCCCCAGGAUGCCCAGGUGAGUCUGCCUAGAGACAAGGUCAAACUCUCCAGGGCUGCUUGAUACCUGGUUCCUGAAAGGGCACCCGUGCCCACUCCUGCCCUGGCACUCACCUCAUUUUCCAGCCUUGGGUGCUCCUAGCUGCCUGGCCUUGGUCCCCCCGGUCUGACUUUCCUGUGAGCUUGUCCCCGGUGUGGUGUCAGCGAUGCCUUAUCUUUGUUCUGAGGUCCCUGUGUGUCUCUGGAAUUGGCUGGCAUUCUCCAUUCAGGUCACGCCUUCCCCUGCCUGCAACAGAUCCCCUCUCCCCCUCUCUCCCUCUGCCUUUUCCUCUCUCUCCUCUCUGUCUCUCCCUCUCUCUCUCUCUCUCUCUCUCCCUCCUCUCUCUCCCUCUCUCCUCUGACUCUCACUUACACACACUCAUAGGAACCUGACAGAACAGAAUCUGUCUUCUUCCUGAAAAGAUCUGCUCUCCCAGUUCCUUCCUUUAUCCUGUGUGGCUGGCCCCAGCUCUUCAGAGAAAAUAACUGGGAAGCUCAAAAAGAUGGCUAUAGUUUUCUGCUCGUCUUCAGGACACCGGCAAAAAGACACCAGUGAAGCAGAAACAACCCACUAAGAAGGCAAUUCUGACAUCUACACUAGGAAAGAAAAAAGGUCCAAAUCCCAAAGCCUCAGACAGCCUGCAAACAGCAACAGAUUUUCCUGCGAACAGAGCCACUGGCCAGGAAUGGGAGGGAGCCCCAAGUCCUACAGUUGGCUAGUGGUUCUCCUCCACCUAAAAGCAAAACUUGUGCUGUUUACCAGCUCAGUGUGCGGAGAUCUAAUUCAGCCCAGUGCGGGUCCAUCAACAGCAGGAGAGCCUGCACCCUAUGGGGAUAGAAACACCUGGGCCUGUGUACCAGCCUACACCCUGAGAUUGUGGAGAAAUGCAGCACCAGAUCUAAGUCGAGCUGAAUAAUAAGACAGUUACUUCCCCACGACAAUGGCAACCAAUACUCAAUACGGAGAGAGACGUCUGGGCGUGAAAAAUAGAUUUUGCGGAGAAGCUUUUCUGUGUUAGGAACAGCGCUAAGCAUAAGCAUGGUCUCAAGUACUCCUGAGGAUUUGUAAGGGUCACCCUAUUGUACUCAUUUUACAGAUGAGAAAACUGAGGCUCAGAGAGGUUCUACACCGUGCCAAGAGCAUCCAGCUCUUUUUUACUCCUUUGCUACUACCGCCAAGAGUUGACAUUUGUUGAGCCCUCUGUGUCGGGGACUGUUCUAGUAAUGUGUUAAUUUCCUUCAAUCAUCUUUAUAUCUCAUAGAGUUGGGUAGUAGGCUUAGCCCCAUUUUACAGAUGAGGAAACCGCCCAGAGAGAUUAAGUAGUAUACCCAAGAUCACACAGUUAGAAAGCGACAGGGGACAAAUUUGAGACCUUACCCACGGUCUUGCACUGCUCCUCACUCAUAUAUUAUAAUGUGUCUGGCAUUUCAAAUACAGCAUCCACAGGGAAGCUCGACUCGAGGCAUUCUGGAAAGAGCAGUAGGCUCGGAGUCCGAAUUUAGCUGUAAUCUUUCCAUUCUGUGCGAGCUGACUGUGCACCGUUGGGCCCAAUGCUUUAUUAACAUCUCUGAUCCUGCUUUGCAUCGGGGAAAGGAGGCUUGCUACGAGGCUUCAGGGUGAUUAUGUUUGUGGAAGUGCUUUGCUAGCUGCCUGGUGGUGUAUCUGAGAGAGGGCCCCCCACCCGGUCUAACCCAGGUCACGGACACAGGUACUCUCCACGCUCGGGUACUGCUGCCUUGGCAGGUUUGGGGGAACAGGGGUUUGAAUCCCCCCCCCCCCCCCGAAUUCUUCUUGCCUCCGUUUUCUCUCCAGUUUCUCUAUUUUAACACUUUCAAAUGUCAGUCUUGCCAGGCCUGGCAUUAGUGAGAGGCUGUGGUCGAUAAUGUGGGUGCAAAUAUAUGAGAUGAGAGAAUAUGUUUGAACUCAGGCACUGUUUUAGCAAAAUGUUGCUUUCUGUUUCAGGCAGGGUAGGGGGAAAAAAAAGUUUAAAAGUCCCAUUAAGAAGCCUCAUAGGCUCCUCAGACAUCAAAUAACUCUCGCAAAACAACAUUUUAAUGAUUUAAGUGUAAAUGAAUCAGAAACACAUGGAUUGCAUUUCUCUUGGAAUACCCCAGGGUUUUUAAACCGAAGGAGAAAGAACUUGGCUCAAAGCACAGUGUGCUAUGCAGAGGGCCCUGCCCGUCACAGACAUUCCCUCUAUUCAUGUGGCAGCAGGACUGGCCCUCUCCUAAUUUAGGGCACAUACAGGAAUAUGCAAUCAUUUGUACUGGGCACAGAGGGAAGAGCUUGGGAGAGAAAGCCAUCAGCGUCUCCUUGUAAGUGUCAUAGAGCACUUGAGCUUCCCAGAAUAAUUUCCUGGCCAGAUUUUUUCAAGGCUGCCAAUGUUCAAUGGGAGGCAUUUGAAAUACGUUCUAAGCCAAAGUUCUGCCAAUAGACAGCAGAUCUGAUAUGUGUUUCCCUGGGAGUUCGCCAAGGCUCAGAUGGAAUCUGCAUGAAAACAGGAACUGUGUGUGGCUGGCUCAGUGAAUGAUCUGGGUGAGAUUCAGGGAAGUUUCCCAUUAGACUAGAAGACAUUGGUGAUGUUGUCCUGACCUUUUGAUUUAAAAAAAAAAAAAACAACACUCUCUGAAGUAUCAUUAACAGACCAUGAGAAGUGGGAGGAACACAAGGGAGAUUGGUCUGGGAGUAGGCUCGGUGUCAGUAGGCUAACUUGUAUGUGACCUUGGGCAGCGACUUUCCCGGCUGGGGGGAGGGAGGGGAGGGUCAUCUCUUUGCUCCACUAUAAACUCAGGGAUUGGACCCCGUUGAGAUGAUGGAACACAUAUGAAUGUGGAUGCGAGAACUGUGGAAUAACCCUGCAGUGAAGGUAGUUGCGAGGGUUGCUCUCAUGACCUACGAAGAGAGUCGAGUCUAGAGCGGCCAACUAAUCUCGACACUUGCUUUAUCUGCGAUCAUCACACAUGACAUUGCUCAGGAUUCUGUCGUGGUUAUUCAGAAAAAUAAUUUUUAAGAAGAUUCACCUAGGUUUUUAAAAGUUUGACAAAACGCUUAAAAUAUACAUCCAAUCAACUAACAGUACCUCAUUUAGAAUCCUAAAAUGUAGAACAACAGAGGUGGGCUCAACAGCCCCAGGUUAGAGUGCAAGACAGGGGUCAGAAAUACAGCACUAAGAGGGUAAAUGUGACAGCAUUCCUACCACUAGAACCGGGCUUGGUUUAUAUGUUGUACCGAGUAUUUAUUAUAUACGACUCCUGAGCCGAGACUUUCUGGAAUCCCAUGAAUGUGCUAGAAAAUGUCAAGUAUUUGGGCAAUGGGAUUUUGUUGGCAAAGUCUGAAAUCCAGGCUUCCUAUAGAAUAUCUAAGAAACUGGUAAAUAGCCCCAAAGAUGGCACCUUAUAAUUAUAUUUUGGGUUAUACAAUACAUUGACUAUGUUGAAAGCCAUUGCUUCAGAGCCUAUCAUAUUUUCAGAAUAAUAUUGGGGGGGGGGAUUAAAGAAAUACCAAUCCCUAAACUUCGUCCCAGGAGAUUCAAAUUCAGUGAAUUUGGGGUGGAGAGCCUGAAUCUCUAAUUUUAAAAGCUCUCCUAGGGGCACCUGGGUGGCUCAGUCAGUUCAGCGGUUGAGCGGCCGACUUCAGCUCAGGUCAUGAUCUCAUGGUUCGUGGGCCCAAGCCCACAUGGAGCUCGCUGCUCUCAGUGCAGAGCCCGCUUUGGAUUAUCUGUCCCCCCCCUCUCUCUGCCCCUCCCCGGCUCGUGUUCUCUCUCAACAAUAAAUUUAAAAAAAAAACGUUAAAAAAUAAAAGUCGUCAUGGCAUGUUUUUGCCUAUCUGGGUACAUACACCAUAAUGGUACAUCUUAUCAUUGAUGGCAUUUUAUUUUAGUUUUUAGUUUUAUACAUAUAUAUUUUAACAAUUGUAAAUAUUUAUGCACCCAACAUGGGAGGACCCAAACAUAAAGCAACUAUUAACAUAGAGGAAGAAAUUGAUGACAAUACAAUAUUGGUAGGGGACUUAAACACCCUACUUACAACAAUAGAAGGAUCAUCCAAACAGAAACUGAUGGCAUUUUAGAUUUGAUGAAGUAUCCUUAGCAUGUGCCAGAUGCUUCCAUAUACAUUAUUACAUGUAGUAGUCACGUAUUUUUACAGAGGAAGACACUGAGGCUCAGAGAGACCGUGCCAGUAAGAGAACAACUGACAUGUGGAGUCUAGGCCCCCUGACCCCAGAUCCAGGACUCUUUCCCUUCACCUGCAGGCUCCCGAUCCUGCCUGUGGACUUUGAACACCCAUGAGCCAUGCUAUCACGUGUCUGCAAGAGUUCAGGGAAGGCAAAAAGCAUAUCUGUUGAAAAAUAAACUAUUAGGCUCUGUUAUGAGCUGAAGUGUGUCCUUCCUAAAUUCGUACGUUGAAGCCCUAACCCCCAGGACCUCGGAAUGUGACAAUUUGGAGAUAGAGACUUGAAGAGAGGUUCCCCAGAUGCUAAGGCCACAGGGACCAAGCAGAUCCAACCACAGGACAGAGUUGUUUAGACCAUAAGAAGCAAAUGGACAGUUGGGGUGGCAAAGUCCAAAAUCAAGGAGGCAGCAGAUUUUGUUGCUGGUGAGGGCCCUCUUCCUGGCUUGCAGACUACUUUCUUGCUGUGUCCUCACAUGGGAGAAAGAGAAGAGAAGCAAGCUUUCUGGUAUCUUCUCUUAUAAGGACACUGAUUUAUUAUGAGGGACCUACCUUUAUGAUCUCAUCCUGUCCUAAUUUCCUCCCAAAGGCCCCCUCUUCGAGAACCAUCACUUUGGGGGUUAGGGCUUCAACAUGAAUUUGAGGGUGGGGCACAAGCAUUCAGUCCAUUGGUCAUAAUGAUAUUUUUCCCUGUAUUUUCUUCUAGAAUGUUUAUACUUCUAGCUUUACAUUUAGGUGUAUGAUCCACAUUGAACUGAUUGUUAUAUAUGGCAUGAUAAAUGGAUCUAGGAGAAUUUUUUUUUUUAAUUUAGAUAUCCAAUUGUUCUAGCAUGUUUUGUUAAAAAGACUAUAUUAUUUCUCGAUCAAUUUGCCCUUGCACUUCUGUCAGUUGUCCUGUAUGUGGGGAUCUAUUUCUGGUGUCUCAAUUCUGUUCCAUUCAUCUAUUUGUUGAUCUUUGCACCAACACCACAUUAUCUUGAUUACUGUAGCCUUAGAAAAAGACUUGAAAUCAUGUAGUAUUAGCUCUCUAACCUUUUUCCAAGGUGUUUUAGAAAAAGCUUGUCAAUUUCUACCAGAAAGCUUGCUAGGAUUUUGACUGAGAUUGUGUGGUACCUAUAAAUGAAUUUGAGGAGAGUUGACAUCUUAAAAAUAUUGAAUGCUCUGA
Long non-coding RNA from Neofelis nebulosa (Clouded leopard), 7534 nucleotides. RefSeq lists it as uncharacterized. Lineage: Eukaryota; Metazoa; Chordata; Mammalia; Carnivora; Felidae. The transcript has 5 exons. The record is from RefSeq and is a predicted model, not a curated record.